CCUGGCCUACGGGACGCAGCAGUGGGGAAUAUUGGUCAAUGGGCGCGAGCCUGAGCCAGCCAAGUCGCGUGAGGGAAGACGGUCCUAUGGAUUGUAAACCUCUUUUGUCGGGGAGCAAAAGACGCCACGCGUGGCGUUCCGAGAGUACCCGAAGAAAAAGCAUCGGCUAACUCCGUGCCAGCAGCCGCGGUAAUACGGAGGAUGCGAGCGUUAUCCGGAUUUAUUGGGUUUAAAGGGUGCGCAGGCGGAAGAUCAAGUCAGCGGUAAAAUUGAGGGGCUCAACCUCUUCGAGCCGUUGAAACUGG
This 305-nucleotide ribosomal RNA is filed under the name uncultured bacterium. RNAcentral describes it as "bacterial SSU rRNA". It matches the Rfam family "Bacterial small subunit ribosomal RNA", at positions 333 to 636 of the family's 1533-position model. The record is from RNAcentral.